CUGGGAGCCCCGCCAGCAGGCUCUUGCUUCCGGGAUUUUGCAUUCAUCUUAUCUGCGUUGAAAAAACAGCUUCCCCACCUGGCACACUUCCUCCCUUCUAAAGCCCCCCCCCCCCAAGAUCUCGCCUCAGGCCGCCCUUACCAAAAACUUUAUACCUCCCCCACCCACCCUUAGUCCUGUCUGAUUUUCCUCUUCAGCCUGCUGACAUCUUUCAUAUCUGUUUCUUUCUCGGACUUGCUGGGCCAGAAUGGGAAUUGCGGGCGAGCGGGGACUUUGUUGUGCUCGAGAUGGAGCCUCCAGCACCGAGGACAGUGGCGGAUGCACAGUCGGGGCAGUAAACCUCUGCGCAGAUUUUGAGUUGGAGUUGGGAGCGCCUCUCCUUCAAGACAGUCCCAUCAUCUACUUGGGCACCAGUGGGACAGAGGUCAUUACCAAAAAUUCUGGGGAAGAAGAAAAAUUGGCAGGUACUAUAUUCAGGAAUAAGAAUGUUAAGAUAUGA
This 499-nucleotide long non-coding RNA is filed under the name Sus scrofa (pig). RNAcentral describes it as "lncRNA (ENSSSCG00065068713.1)". Lineage: Eukaryota; Metazoa; Chordata; Mammalia; Artiodactyla; Suidae. The record is from RNAcentral.